Molecule: ribosomal RNA, 430 nt
Filed under: uncultured marine eukaryote
Lineage: Eukaryota
Description: SSU rRNA
Rfam family: Eukaryotic small subunit ribosomal RNA
Source: RNAcentral
UUAAAAAGCUCGUAGUUGGAUUUCGGAGUGGGCCAGUUGGUCCACCGCAAGUGUGUUACUGACUGGUCUGCUCUUCUCCCCAAAGACUGCGUGUGCUCUUUGUUGAGUGUGCGUAGGAUUUACGACGUUUACUUUGAAAAAAUUAGAGUGUUCAAAGCAGGCUAUUGCUUGAAUACAUGAGCAUGGAAUAAUGGAAUAGGACUUUGGUCCCAUUUUGUUGGUUUCUAGGACCGAAGUAAUGAUUAAGAGGGACAAUUGGGGGCAUCCGUAUUUCGUUGUCAGAGGUGAAAUUCUUGGAUUUACGAAAGACGAACAACUGCGAAAGCACUUGCCAAGAGUGUUUUCAUUAAUCAAGAACGAAAGUUAGAGGAUCGAAGACGAUCAGAUACCGUCCUAGUUCUAACCAUAAACGAUGUCGACUAGGGAUCAG